UUGAUGAUCACCCACAUGAUUCAUCUCGCCAUCGAAGAAAACCCUUCUCCGCCGAUAUGGGCCCGGAGGAGGAUGUUCGCUCAUCGGUCUUCUUGGCGAAGCCUUCCGUCGCUCCCUCGUCCAGCUUCGCAUCAGCGACGCCCUUUCCCCCCUCCUUCCCCGCUGACAAGAAAUCGAAUACAGGUUUUUCUGUUCGAUUGGUGGUUGAUUAAAGCGGAAAGCGAGGUCGAGGGGAAAAGGUUGGCCGUCGGAGGGUUUACGACGAGGCAACAUGCAACUAGAUUAUUCAGUUCUGCUCCUAUUAUUAAACGGAAUGAUGCUUAUACUCUUGAGACAGCAGAUGGCGUUACUGUUGUAGUUCAGGGCAUGAUAAACAAAGAACGUACACAAGAUAAUGGUUUUCCUCUUGAGGUCUGCAAUCAUUUCUUGAUUGGAUUUCCAUAUAACUGGGAUCAUUAUGCUGAUGAAUAUUCUAAUAAGAGAUCAACUUCAACCUCUCCUGGAAAGUUGUCUUCUCUUGAUGAAGCAUUCAAAGACUCAACUAAUAGAACAGCUUCUACAUUUCCAGUUCUUCUGGAUGAGUUUCCUAUAUGUAGGGUCUUAAAUUUUUUUACUUCUGGAGGGGACAAUUUGACAACAAACUUCAGUGAUCAUCUGAAAAAUCUCUCCAUGAGUGCAGCAGAAUCUGAAAUGCAGAAGUCUUCAUCAUAUCUGAUGGAGGGUCUUGGUAAGCAUAACAUGGACAACAAUGAUGGAAAUAUUGUUGGAUCUGCUAGUUCAGUUGAACAUCAUGCUGAGGUUCUUACUUGUUCUAAAGAAGUUGAGUAUUCUAGAAAAAACUUGAAUGAAGGUGGUGGAUAUAGAAUAACUGUGAGCAAGCAGGAGCUGGUAGAUAUGCGAAAGAAAGCAUCUUCAAACAACUCAAGGAAAAUGGAGACAUGCAGUAAUUUAUUUUCCUUCAUUUCAGUUAACAAUAAUAGUACUAAUCAUUUGCAAGUUUCUGUUGAUCAGAAGUUAGAUGCUGAAGGCCGUAAUAACCCAGUGGAGGAGGGACGUAGUAGUAUCUCAAAUAGUCCAUUGUUACAAGAUGUUUCACAUCUUGAUUACAGUGAGAAACUGGGAGAUGAUACAGCAGGAAGGCUAUGCCAUUCCGAUAAAUCAAUAAUAAAUGACACAGAUGGUUUGCCUAUUCCCACAAAUUUGGACAACAAAGAUGCAUAUUCACCUCACGUAAAAAUUGAUGUCAAGUUGAAAAUUUCUGAUGUCAUAGGAACAUUGAAGGCCGGAACAUGGCAGGAAGGAAGUGUUGGAACUAGAUAUGUAGAAGGUGAACUAAAUGGCUUUGAUCACUCCAAAAUAUCUAAACAUUGUUCUACAAGUAAUGAAGGAGAAUCUUCAUCAGACGAGAUAAAUGGCAUGUGUCUUAAUACCUUAGAGAAGAUUAAGAACUGUAAUAUUCCUUCUGUUGAGAAUCCUACUACUCAGAUGUGUUCAACAGUUGAUAUUGGACUAACUGGAGAUUCAGAAAUGGACAUGUGCUGUCAAAAGGAACCUUUAGUGAAGGUUAUUGAAGAAAAAGAAAUAAAGAAGGAUAGCAUUCAGAAACAAAAUCAGGACUGUACUGAGUGCAUUGGCGAAAAAGAUUUUGUGCACUUCUCCGCUUCUGUAGAAAUGAUGCCAUUAGCUGAAGAUAAAUUAACAGGCAAAACUACAUCCACUGGAACUGAAGAGCAGUCAUCAGCUGUUAAGGGUCAUAACUAUCCGUAUGUAAGUGGUACUUGUAAACGUGGUGGAGUUACACUCGGCAUACCUGCUUCUGUUUCUAGGUCAGAGGGCUUAAAAGGCAAAUCAGAGUUCUCAUCUAAAAUGAAAGUCAAAAGAGUUUCUAAAAACUAUGAAGUUGCAAGCACUAAGCUGGAGACAGGAGAGACCAAGCCAAAUCAUCUUAACUCUGAGGAGAAAGGUUUCAAACAUACUUCUGAAUACCAUGCCUCUGUGAAAGGUGACAAUAAGGAUGCAUCGACUGCCAGUCCUGCUCAGGAUCCCACUGAUGUUUCUCAGAUUUGUACUUUUGACUCAUUCAAACAGGAAGUAGGUGCUGACCCUUUAAAAUGCAGAUUGCAGUCAUCGCUUUUAUCGAGUCAUGCUGCCACUAAGGAAUUGGAAAAACAAAAUGGACUUGCUGUUGAUCACAUUGCUAUGGAGAAUAAUAGUCAUUCAAAUGGAUCUCCUAGAUAUUCAACAAAAUAUGCAGUUCAAUCAGAUAUUCCAGUCAUGAAUUACUCUAGUGAAGAUAAAUCAUUGGAAAUGAUUUACAAGACGUUAAUGGACAAAAUGAAUAACCAAGAUGUUCCUAAAGUUUCAGUAGCAGAGGAGUCUAACAAAAUUAAGGGAUCACAUACUUCUAGGAGGAGGAAAAUGUUGAGGCAAGUCUCAUAUGUACACCAAUCACCACUUACCAGGGAUAAGGCUAAGAAGUCAUUUGUGGCCUUAUCUGAAUCUCUUAAUUUUAGAAGAUCUCGGUCAGGCCGAUUGAUCGUUCCACCCCUAGAUAAUGGUUGUCAGCAAAUUAUCUAUGAUGCGGUAUGUAAGUGUUAAUACUUCAAUUGUGGUGCAACUGCUGCAUGUGCAAGCAAGCUCAGCCAUAGGUCCAAGUAAACAUUGAUGGUUCAAUUACUGGGAUUAUGAGUGCUCGUAAUGUGCUGAAUUCUCCUAGCCAAGGAAGCAAGUCGGAGCCUGCAAAAAGAAGAAGAAAAUUAUGAACACUUGACACUCUGUUAUAAAGGCCCGAAGAGCCAACUUUAUGUUUUCCGUCAACACUUCACCUGUCUCGAACCAGUAGGAGCAUCAAUUGGCAAUUCAGAUUUGAGGGCCCGUUUUCCCUUUCGGUCUUGGUAUUUUGAUGCAUAUAAAUUGCAUCUACUGUUGUAUGAUCCCUGAUCUGACAAGAUCCUUUUGAAUCGCAGACGCCGACGGCAACAGUCAUGAAGCAAGGCAUACCUCAUUUGCAAAAAAUGGGGAGCUUCGGUGCCACGUUAGUUUCGUUUUUUCCUUGUUCAGCAAAUAGUAAACUAUGCUUUAACAAACAUGAAGCAAGGCAUACCUCAUUUGCAAAAAAUGGGGAGCUUCGGUGCCACGUUAGUUU
Molecule: RNA transcript, 3145 nt
Organism: Musa acuminata AAA Group (dessert banana)
Lineage: Eukaryota; Viridiplantae; Streptophyta; Magnoliopsida; Zingiberales; Musaceae
Exons: 9
Source: RefSeq, a predicted model, not a curated record